ACAAGUGGGGCAUGCUUACCAUGCAGUCGAACGGUGAAGCCCAGCUUGCUGGGUGGAUCAGUGGCGAACGGGUGAGUAACACGUGAGCAACCUGCCCCUGACUCUGGGAUAAGCGCUGGAAACGGCGUCUAAUACUGGAUAUGUGACGUGACCGCAUGGUCUGCGUUUGGAAAGAUUUUUCGGUUGGGGAUGGGCUCGCGGCCUAUCAGCUUGUUGGUGAGGUAAUGGCUCACCAAGGCGUCGACGGGUAGCCGGCCUGAGAGGGUGACCGGCCACACUGGGACUGAGACACGGCCCAGACUCCUACGGGAGGCAGCAGUGGGGAAUAUUGCACAAUGGGCGCAAGCCUGAUGCAGCAACGCCGCGUGAGGGAUGACGGCCUUCGGGUUGUAAACCUCUUUUAGCAGGGAAGAAGCGAAAGUGACGGUACCUGCAGAAAAAGCGCCGGCUAACUACGUGCCAGCAGCCGCGGUAAUACGUAGGGCGCAAGCGUUAUCCGGAAUUAUUGGGCGUAAAGAGCUCGUAGGCGGUUUGUCGCGUCUGCUGUGAAAUCCCGAGGCUCAACCUCGGGCCUGCAGUGGGUACGGGCAGACUAGAGUGCGGUAGGGGAGAUUGGAAUUCCUGGUGUAGCGGUGGAAUGCGCAGAUAUCAGGAGGAACACCGAUGGCGAAGGCAGAUCUCUGGGCCGUAACUGACGCUGAGGAGCGAAAGGGUGGGGAGCAAACAGGCUUAGAUACCCUGGUAGUCCACCCCGUAAACGUUGGGAACUAGUUGUGGGGUCCAUUCCACGGAUUCCGUGACGCAGCUAACGCAUUAAGUUCCCCGCCUGGGGAGUACGGCCGCAAGGCUAAAACUCAAAGGAAUUGACGGGGACCCGCACAAGCGGCGGAGCAUGCGGAUUAAUUCGAUGCAACGCGAAGAACCUUACCAAGGCUUGACAUAUACGAGAACGGGCCAGAAAUGGUCAACUCUUUGGACACUCGUAAACAGGUGGUGCAUGGUUGUCGUCAGCUCGUGUCGUGAGAUGUUGGGUUAAGUCCCGCAACGAGCGCAACCCUCGUUCUAUGUUGCCAGCACGUAAUGGUGGGAACUCAUGGGAUACUGCCGGGGUCAACUCGGAGGAAGGUGGGGAUGACGUCAAAUCAUCAUGCCCCUUAUGUCUUGGGCUUCACGCAUGCUACAAUGGCCGGUACAAAGGGCUGCAAUACCGCGAGGUGGAGCGAAUCCCAAAAAGCCGGUCCCAGUUCGGAUUGAGGUCUGCAACUCGACCUCAUGAAGUCGGAGUCGCUAGUAAUCGCAGAUCAGCAACGCUGCGGUGAAUACGUUCCCGGGUCUUGUACACACCGCCCGUCAAGUCAUGAAAGUCGGUAACACCUGAAGCCGGUGGCCUAACCUUUUUGGAGGGAGCCGUCGAAGUGAUUCCAGUC
Molecule: ribosomal RNA, 1427 nt
Filed under: Microbacterium saperdae
Lineage: Bacteria; Bacillati; Actinomycetota; Actinomycetes; Micrococcales; Microbacteriaceae
Description: bacterial SSU rRNA
Rfam family: Bacterial small subunit ribosomal RNA
Source: RNAcentral